CGCGAACAGGUUUAAGGACUAAACGACAAAUCCUCCUUUGUCGAGUCUAAAUAGUCCUAAGGACUUCACCACAACACAGGAGUUCAUCAGAAGAUGAAAUAAUUUGUGAUAAAAAAUAUCAAAAUAACUUUUAUUUAUUUAUAAUUUAUAUACUAAUACAAGAAAGAGCACAACCAUCAACAGACUGACGAUUGGCUUUGGGAUACUAUUUCCAACAGUGAAGACUAGUGAAAAGUGGCCG
This 241-nucleotide long non-coding RNA is filed under the name Elaeis guineensis (African oil palm). RNAcentral's name for it is "long non-coding RNA (EGUI_LNC032273)". Lineage: Eukaryota; Viridiplantae; Streptophyta; Magnoliopsida; Arecales; Arecaceae. The record is from RNAcentral.